GGACUUUUUAGACUAGUAUAUCCUGUAUAUUAGUGCACACAUACUUGCAUCACAGUGUCAGAGAGUUUGCUGCCAUCUGGAACAUCUGUCACUCAGAAAUUAUACAUGACAAAACAUUAAAAUACAGUCAAAUGAGCCAGGCAUGGUAUAGGGGUGCGUGCCUGUUAGUCCCAACUACUCAGGAGGGUAGGCAGUAGGAUUGCUUGAGUCUGGGAGUUUGAGACCAGGCUGGGCAACAUAGCAAGACACUGUCUCUAAAAAUAAAAAAUAAUCAUAUAGCCACAUAGCCACAUACUAACACAUAACUUGAUAACUGAUGAAAGGAAUUUAAGCAAAUCAGCUCCAUCUUAUCAGGAGCUGAUUUUUGGAGUGUAAAAGCAGAACUUCUGUUGCAUGAACCAGUAAUCAAUGUGGACUUUUAAAGAUAUCAGAAAACCCCAACAGGUUUACUUCAAAAUGUUCAAAACUUGUUCCCCUCUUAUGCUGGAAAGAAAGAGUUCUAAACUGUGAAAAUAACACACAUUCCUAAAUAUAUUAUUUCUUGAAGAUUUGUUGAAGAAGUGACCACAACUUAGUAUCUAAAAGAGAAGUGCAUUACUUAGUGCUUUUCAGGCCAAUGGUGUGAAAGAAGGAAAAAUUAUCUCUUGUCCUGGUUAAACAGACCCUAUACACCAGAGGUGGGGCUUUCUCAGCAUCUCUAUUUCUCAUCCCCAUGACAACGAAUCUCAGAUUUGUCUCUAUGGCAGAUAUCACAUAAUAGAGUGUUAUGUACUCAUUCAUGCAAAGCCUGUACAAUCAUUGCCUCUUGGACUAAAUAAUUUGCUUUUUAUUUACAGGUUUAUAAGUGGAAAUAGCCUGCCUUGAAUCUCAGAUGAGACUUCAGACCUUUGGACUUUUGAGUUGGUUCUGGAACAAGUUAGGACUUUUGGAGACUAUUGGUAUGGAAUUUUGGAUUGAGUUUGGAGGAAGGGAACCCAUAAUCCUGGCAUGCCAGCAAAAAGGCCAUGUAAAUCCAAAUGAUUAUGCAACCGGAGCCUCAGACAAUGGCGCCUUUUACUGGGGAACCUUGGCUAGGCCUCUGGAAGAGAUCUGACUGACUACUGUCUUCCCAAAACAGCAUCCCCUGUCAGUAGGAAGCUGUUAGGCUUGGUCUUCAUUCCUAUUCUAACAUCAGUUAGACAUACCUCUUCUUUUUUUUUUUUGAGACAGAGUUUCGCUCUUGUUCCCCAGGCUGGAAUGCAAUGGCGCAAUCUGGGCUCACCGCAACCUCCACCUCCUGGGUUCAGGCAAUUCUCCUGCCUCAGCCUCCUGAGUAGCCGGGAUUACAGGCAUGCGCCACCAUGCCCAGCUAUUUUUUUGUAUCUUUAGUAGAGACGGGGUUUCACCAUGUUGACCAGGAUGGUCUCGAUCUCUUGACCUCAUGAUCCACCCGCCUCGGCCUCCCAAAGUGCUGGGAUUACAGGCUUGAGCCACCGCGCCCGGCCUAGACAUACCUCUUUAGAGUGGGGAAUGACAGAGGUGGGAGGAAUGACAGAGGUGGGAGGCAGACAAAUGCCUAGACAGAUAAGGAAGUUUCCCUGGAGAAUCUCCAAACUGCUUCAUGAGUAUUUACAUAAGACUUGCCUCACAAUUAUUACACCAGAUGCUUUGUGCAGAUAAGGGAACCUGAACAGGGUCUUGCCCACAUGCAGCAUGGGAAUGGGAUGCAGCCACCAGGAAUUUAUGCCCUACGCUGGGGAGGAGUCUAACCUCUGUGGACUGGUAUUCAAUUUGUGAAGUGGAAACUUGUGUGAAAGACCCCUGUCUUUGCUGAGAGCUUUCCUUUCACUUAAUAAAUUCUGCCCUCCUAAACUUUCAAUGUGUUCUCACGCCUAAUUUUUCCUGAUCGGGAGACAACAACCCAGAUUUAGCUGAGCUAAGGAGCAAAAAGUCUUGCAUCAAUUACACAAAAAAAGCAACUAAGAAAUGUAUCAAAGAAAUUUGACAGAUAUUGAAAUAAUAAAAACAAAAUCGAACAAAAAUCUUGAAACUGAAAAGUACAUUUGCUGAACUUAAGAAGUCUUUAGAGGUUUUCAACAGCAGAAUAAACAAAGUAGAGGAAAGGAUCAUCGAGCUCAAACUCUGGCUAUUUGAAAGUACACGGUCAGAGAGAAGAAAGAAUAAAAGAGAAUGAAGAACACCUACAAAAUGUAGAAACUACCUCAAAAGACCAAAUGUAAGAAUCGUUGGUGUUCAAGAGGGAUCUGAGCACGAGCAAGGGGUAGAAAGUUUAUUUAAAGAAAUAACAAAAAUCUUUCCAAAACUUAAGAAAGAUAUAAAUAUUUAGGUAAAGGAAGAUCUUAGAACACCAAAUAGAUUCAACACAAAUAACACUACUCCAAGGCAUCUAGUAUUCAAACUCUCAAACGUCAAAAAAAAGGGGGGGGCGGGGGGAGAGAGAAGCUCCUAAAAGCAGUGAAAGAUAAGAAGAAACUGACAUAUCAAGGAAUUUCAAUUUGCCUGCCAACAUACUUCUCAAUGGAAAUUAUACAAUAAAAAAAAUAAAAUUGGGUUUAUAAUGAUGAAUUAUGGGAGGGGUACUUUUAGAUAGGGUGCUCUGAAAAGAACUUUCAGGGGAAAUAAUAUUUUUAUAAAAGGCAAAGAGAAAAAAAGUGACAAUCAGAGGGAAGAAUUUUGUAGGCAGAUGAAAAACAAAUGCAAUGGUUCGAAGUUAUGUGUGAGUGCAUGAGAAUUAAGUAGCAGAAAGAAGGUUCAAGCUGCUGGUGAGCAUGAGCAAGAAGGACAAGAUGAAGUUCAAGAGGGGAAUGGGUGCAGGUCUUGAGGGGCCUUCAAGACCCGUAAUGGAGUUUGGAUUUUAUUCAAGGUGAGCUGAGAGACAUUGGUGGCUUAUAAGCAAGUGAAUGGCAUAAUCUACAUUAUGUACCAAAGGAAUCACCCUGGAAAUGGAAUUUAGGAAGGCAAGAGUGAACACAGGGAGAAAAUUUGGGAGGCUACUUUAGUGGAAAAAGAUGUGAGUAGCACAGAGCAUCUUUCAUCAAGCUUACGUGGCCUUAGUUCUUCGAGAUUUAGGACAUAAGUUCUUUGUCUCUAGUAAAAAGGGAACCAGUUUCUUAGAUGUCUCAGGCAUUACAUAAAGCUAGCAUUGUGCUCUUUUGACCUUGACCCAUUUAGCAGCUGCAAGAUUUUGUAUUACCUCAUUGAGGCUGGACUGUGAACCUAGACAGGCGUGAGUUAAACGCCCAUUUAGAAGCUACAAGAAGUUGCCUGAUGGAAGUACAUGGGAUUUAGAGUGAGACCAUCUUGAUUUGGGUGUUGCCACUAACCAUGUGACCAUAAGUCACUCUUUAAGCAAAUUUUCUUUUGGGCAAAACAGAUAAUACUAGAAACCAUGACUGUUAUCUUUGUGAAAUCAAAGGAGAGGAGUAUUUUUUUUUUUUAUUUUAAAGAGUAGCCAACCUUGAUUGUGCCCAUACUACAUGCCCAGGUACUUAUCUAAUACUUUUAUUCCUUACACUGGACCUAUGCAUUACGGUCUUUUACUAUCCUCAUGUUUAUAUGUGAAGAAACUGAGUAAUAGUUAAGACACUUACACAAGAUCACAAAGGAAGUAACAGGAAGAGUGAGGGUGCAACCCUGGGGAGUCUGACUCUAGGAGGCAUGCUAAUAACUGUAGCCAUUGUUUUCCUUGCUGACCUAGGAGGUGUUGUGUGACAACGAGCUGCAAUCCUUACUCCAGCAAUGAAAAGCCAGAGAAGAAGCUCAGCUCUCACAUCUAAUCUCCCUAAAAGGGAGAUGAUUCAUGUAUCAUGAAUCCUCUGGUAACAAGAAAUUGUAUUACUCAUAGUUCCUUAUAUCAACCCCAGAGUUUGCAAUAUUUGAAUUCUGCUCCACUGAAGAGGUGGUGGCAGCUGAUAAAAGGAACAAACAUCAAGCUAAAAGUCUAUAGGUUGAUGAAAGAAAGUGAAUGUUGUAAGAGACUUCUCUCCAGUUGAAAAGUGACCUGCAAUGUAGACACAGGUAGUCCCAGAAACUAGCACACAUCUUAGUCAUCUUACUUUGGAUCUCUAAAUGUUGCUUCCAACUGAUGAUAUCUGACAUGUCAAGGCAUUCUUGACAGUUCUUGGGAUCUUUAUAGUCUCUAUUUAAUCUAUUCCCAUUCUGAUAUUUAUUAUUUCCUUUCUUCUACUAACUUUUAGUGUAGUUUGUCCCUU
RNAcentral lists this long non-coding RNA (4211 nucleotides) under Callithrix jacchus (white-tufted-ear marmoset). RNAcentral describes it as "lncRNA (ENSCJAG00000070695.1)". Lineage: Eukaryota; Metazoa; Chordata; Mammalia; Primates; Cebidae. The record is from RNAcentral.